This 484-nucleotide ribosomal RNA is filed under the name uncultured bacterium. RNAcentral describes it as "partial 16S ribosomal RNA". It matches the Rfam family "Bacterial small subunit ribosomal RNA", at positions 29 to 507 of the family's 1533-position model. The record is from RNAcentral.
AUUGAACGCUGGCGGCAUGCUUUACACAUGCAAGCCGAACGGCAGCGCGGGCUUCGGCCUGGCGGCGAGUGGCGAACGGGUGAGUAAUGCAUCGGAACGUGCCCAGUAGUGGGGGAUAGCCCGGCGAAAGCCGGAUUAAUACCGCAUACGACCUGAGGGUGAAAGCGGGGGACCGAAAGGCCUCGCGCUAUUGGAGCGGCCGAUGUCGGAUUAGCUAGUUGGUGGGGUAAAGGCUUACCAAGGCGACGAUCCGUAGCUGGUCUGAGAGGACGACCAGCCACACUGGGACUGAGACACGGCCCAGACUCCUACGGGAGGCAGCAGUGGGGAAUUUUGGACAAUGGGGGCAACCCUGAUCCAGCCAUGCCGCGUGCGGGAAGAAGGCCUUCGGGUUGUAAAACGCUUUUGUUCGGGAAGAAAUCCUCUGGGCUAAUACCCCGGGGGGAUGACGGUACCGGAAGAAUAAGCACCGGCUAACUACGUG